AGAAAUAGGCUAGGAUUUAAAGCUUAUAAUUUCUAUUGUUAAAUCAGUUUUAAGAAAGAAAUAGAUCGUAAUUCAAAUUAAAGGUCUUCUUCGAUCCUUCUCCCUGCUUUCUUGUUACUUUUUUUUUUUUUUUUUUUCUUCAGGAAAGUAAUAAAACUCAUAUUAUUACUCAGACAUAAAGCCUUAAAGGGAACACCAGCUAUUACAGAAACUCCAGCUGUAUUUAGCAUUUCCACCUGAAACCAGGGAGUCUUUCUAUUACUGACUGCUUACACACCCAAGUAUAAAUAAACCUUGCCUUGGAGCACUUAUAAGCUUAAUGGACAAGAGGUGGAUGAAAGGAAGCUAUGGCUGAGGUGGGGAGCCAAGGCGCAACAAGGUUAAGUGAGUUUCUGGAGGUCACCCGGGAAGUUUAACAUCCAGCAGGGAAGGGACCCAAACUCCUCUGAGUCAUCAUCCCCUGACAAGCCCAUCCUUCUUCUUUUCCUACUAAAUGGAACAAUCCUGUAUUGGUUGUGGUAUAAUGGUCUACAUGACCGGGUUCAAAUUAGCUGCUGACACUUAUUGACAAGAAGAAACACAUCCUUCCACUGGGAUAAAACAUAUUUUUAUUGAAGAAAGAAGAGACACAGGAUUGGGUUCCUAUUGUCUUCUCCAUGAGCAAGAAGAAAGGAAGACAUUUGGCCCCUUAAAUGACAGCAUGCCAAGCCUUAAUCCCAAAGAGAAGGUGCCCCAUGGAGAGCACAAGGUGAAGGGAUCUCAGCCAAAGAAUGAAGUCCUGAGCUUUGAUUUCAGUGGCUUCCAUGGUCUGCUCCCCAGAAUUUGCAAAUCCUGACAACCCCCAGCCUGCACCCAG
This 856-nucleotide long non-coding RNA is filed under the name Anas platyrhynchos platyrhynchos (common mallard). RNAcentral's name for it is "lncRNA (ENSAPLG00000019824.1)". The record is from RNAcentral. Lineage: Eukaryota; Metazoa; Chordata; Aves; Anseriformes; Anatidae.